GCUCCCAUAGUUAAGCCUGGAUAUAAUACAACCUUGCGGAGGUUGGGUCCGAGGUUCAAAUCCUCGUGGGGGCG
RNAcentral lists this transfer RNA (74 nucleotides) under Candidatus Pacearchaeota archaeon RBG_13_36_9. RNAcentral's name for it is "tRNA-Arg". It matches the Rfam family "tRNA". From Rfam's summary of the family: Transfer RNA (tRNA) molecules are approximately 80 nucleotides in length. The record is from RNAcentral. Lineage: Archaea; Nanobdellati.